This 578-nucleotide ribosomal RNA is filed under the name Psarocheilosia djakonovi. RNAcentral describes it as "eukaryotic LSU rRNA". The record is from RNAcentral. Lineage: Eukaryota; Metazoa; Arthropoda; Insecta; Diptera; Syrphidae.
GAGUUCAAGAGUACGUGAAACUGCUUAGAGGUUAAGCCCGAUGAACCUGAAUAUCCGUUAUGGAAAAUUCAUCACUAAUAAUUUAAUAUUAAUAAUAUUUUAUGAAUAGUGUGCAAUUUUUCCAUAUAAGGACAUUGUAAUCUGUUAAUGUAAUAAAUAUUUAUUAAAAGAUCUUAUACUUAAGUUUAUUCAAAUUAGUUAUUUUCGGAUUUCUAACAUAGAAUAAAUGUAUUUGAUUUAAUAAAUCAUUGACAGAUUUAUUUGUAUAUAGCGCUUAAAUUUUGAAAAAAAUUUUACAAUUAUAUGAUAAUUCUAUUUAUUAUAUUUAUUGUAUGCGCUUAUAUGAUUCACAAUGCGAUAGAUUCAGGAUACCUUCGGGACCCGUCUUGAAACACGGACCAAGGAGUCUAACAUAUGUGCAAGUCAUUGGGUAUUUUUAAUAAAACCCAAUGGCAUAAUUAACUUAACUGUUAUUUAAUAUGGGAUUAGUUUAUAUUUUAUUAUGAAAUAUGAAUUCAAUCCCGGGGCGUUCUAUACAGUUAUGCAUAAUGAUAUUUAUAUUAUUUAUGCCUCUAACU